UACGGGGGGAGCAAGCGUUGUUCGGAUUUACUGGGCGUAAAGGGCGCGUAGGCGGCCACCGCAAGUCGACUGUGAAAUCUCCGGGCUUAACCCGGAAAGGUCAACUGAUACUGCGCGGCUAGAGUGCAGAAGGGGCAACUGGAAUUCUCGGUGUAGCGGUGAAAUGCGUAGAUAUCGAGAGGAACACCUGCGGCGAAGGCGGGUUGCUGGGCUGACACUGACGCUGAGGCGCGAAAGCUAGGGGAGCGAACGGG
This 254-nucleotide ribosomal RNA is filed under the name uncultured bacterium. Its description in RNAcentral is "partial 16S ribosomal RNA". It matches the Rfam family "Bacterial small subunit ribosomal RNA", at positions 524 to 776 of the family's 1533-position model. The record is from RNAcentral.